Molecule: ribosomal RNA, 1044 nt
Filed under: uncultured bacterium
Lineage: Bacteria
Description: bacterial SSU rRNA
Rfam family: Bacterial small subunit ribosomal RNA
Source: RNAcentral
AUUGAACGCUGGCGGCAUGCCUUACACAUGCAAGUCGAACGGUAACAGCACUUCGGUGGCUGACGAGUGGCGAACGGGUGAGUAAUACAUCGGAACGUGCCCGAGAGUGGGGGAUAACGCAGCGAAAGCUGUGCUAAUACCGCAUACGAUCUACGGAUGAAAGCAGGGGACCGCAAGGCCUUGCGCUCACGGAGCGGCCGAUGGCAGAUUAGGUAGUUGGUGGGAUAAAAGCUUACCAAGCCGACGAUCUGUAGCUGGUCUGAGAGGACGACCAGCCACACUGGGACUGAGACACGGCCCAGACUCCUACGGGAGGCAGCAGUGGGGAAUUUUGGACAAUGGGCGAAAGCCUGAUCCAGCCAUGCCGCGUGCAGGAUGAAGGCCUUCGGGUUGUAAACUGCUUUUGUACGGAACGAAAAGGUCUUUUCUAAUAAAGAAGGCUCAUGACGGUACCGUAAGAAUAAGCACCGGCUAACUACGUGCCAGCAGCCGCGGUAAUACGUAGGGUGCAAGCGUUAAUCGGAAUUACUGGGCGUAAAGCGUGCGCAGGCGGUUAUAUAAGACAGAUGUGAAAUCCCCGGACUCAACCUGGGAACUGCAUUAGUGACUGUAUAGCUAGAGUGCGGCAGAGGGGGAUGGAAUUCCGCGUGUAGCAGUGAAAUGCGUAGAUAUGCGGAGGAACACCGAUGGCGAAGGCAAUCCCCUGGGCCUGCACUGACGCUCAUGCACGAAAGCGUGGGGAGCAAACAGGAUUAGAUACCCUGGUAGUCCACGCCCUAAACGAUGUCAACUGGUUGUUGGGAAUUUACUUUCUCAGUAACGAAGCUAACGCGUGAAGUUGACCGCCUGGGGAGUACGGCCGCAAGGUUAAAACUCAAAGGAAUUGACGGGGACCCGCACAAGCGGUGGAUGAUGUGGUUUAAUUCGAUGCAACGCGAAAAACCUUACCCACCUUUGACAUGUAUGGAAGAUCGCAGAGACGCGAUUGUGCUCGAAAGAGAGCCAUAACACAGGUGCUGCAUGGCUGUCGUCAGCUCGUGUCGU